GGCCCGUAAUCCGGGUUGCGGACAGUGUCUGGUGGGUAGUUUGACUGGGGCGGUCUCCUCCUAAAGAGUAACGGAGGAGCACGAAGGUUGGCUAAUCCUGGUCGGACAUCAGGAGGUUAGUGCAAUGGCAUAAGCCAGCUUGACUGCGAGCGUGACGGCGCGAGCAGGUGCGAAAGCAGGUCAUAGUGAUCCGGUGGUUCUGAAUGGAAGGGCCAUCGCUCAACGGAUAAAAGGUACUCCGGGGAUAACAGGCUGAUACCGCCCAAGAGUUCAUAUCGACGGCGGUGUUUGGCACCUCGAUGUCGGCUCAUCACAUCCUGGGGCUGAAGUAGGUCCCAAGGGUAUGGCUGUUCGCCAUUUAAAGUGGUACGCGAGCUGGGUUUAGAACGUCGUGAGACAGUUCGGUCCCUAUCUGCCGUGGGCGCUGGAGAACUGAGGGGGGCUGCUCCUAGUACGAGAGGACCGGAGUGGACGCAUCACUGGUGUUCGGGUUGUCAUGCCAAUGGCACUGCCCGGUAGCUAAAUGCGGAAGAGAUAAGUGCUGAAAGCAUCUAAGCACGAAACUUGCCCCGAGAUGAGUUCUCCCUGAGACUUAGAGUCUCCUGAAGGAACGUUGAAGACGACGACGUUGAUAGGCCGGGUGU
RNAcentral lists this ribosomal RNA (644 nucleotides) under Escherichia coli. RNAcentral describes it as "partial 23S ribosomal RNA". It matches the Rfam family "Bacterial large subunit ribosomal RNA", at positions 2230 to 2868 of the family's 2925-position model. The record is from RNAcentral. Lineage: Bacteria; Pseudomonadati; Pseudomonadota; Gammaproteobacteria; Enterobacterales; Enterobacteriaceae.